Molecule: transfer RNA, 71 nt
Filed under: Candidatus Levyibacteriota bacterium
Lineage: Bacteria; Candidatus Levyibacteriota
Description: tRNA-Gly
Rfam family: tRNA
About the family: Transfer RNA (tRNA) molecules are approximately 80 nucleotides in length. Their secondary structure includes four short double-helical elements and three loops (D, anti-codon, and T loops). Further hydrogen bonds mediate the characteristic L-shaped molecular structure. tRNAs have two regions of fundamental functional importance: the anti-codon, which is responsible for specific mRNA codon recognition, and the 3' end, to which the tRNAs corresponding amino acid is attached (by aminoacyl-tRNA synthetases). tRNAs cope with the degeneracy of the genetic code in two manners: having more than one tRNA (with a specific anti-codon) for a particular amino acid; and 'wobble' base-pairing, i.e. permitting non-standard base-pairing at the 3rd anti-codon position.
Source: RNAcentral
GCGGGUGUAGUUCAAUGGCAGAACACCACUUUUCCAAAGUGGACACGAGGGUUCGAUUCCCUUCACCCGCU